UGGGGAAUAUUGGACAAUGGGGGCAACCCUGAUCCAGCGAUGCCGCGUGUGCGAAGAAGGCCUGCGGGUUGUAAAGCACUUUGAUGGGGGAAGAAGGGUUAUGGUCGAAUAGGCUAUGACAUUGACGUUACCCCAAGAACAAGCACCGGCUAACUCUGUGCCAGCAGCCGCGGUAAUACAGAGGGUGCGAGCGUUAAUCGGAAUUACUGGGCGUAAAGGGCGCGUAGGCGGCUAUAUAAGUUAGGUGUGAAAUCCCCGGGCUUAACCUGGGAAUUGCAUUUAAGACUGUAUGGCUAGAGUAGAGUAGAGGGAAGUGGAAUUUCCGGUGUAGCGGUGAAAUGCGUAGAUAUCGGAAAGAACAUCAGUGGCGAAGGCGGCUUUCUGGACUUAUACUGACGCUGAGGCGCGAAAGCAUGGGUAGCAAACAGGAUUAGAUACCCCGGUAGUCC
This 449-nucleotide ribosomal RNA is filed under the name uncultured bacterium. RNAcentral describes it as "bacterial SSU rRNA". It matches the Rfam family "Bacterial small subunit ribosomal RNA", at positions 355 to 796 of the family's 1533-position model. The record is from RNAcentral.